UAAAGCUCCUCAUACGCAAAAGUAUUUCAAGAUUUUAAUUACUACAGAUGUGAGGUAUAUCAUAACACAAACAGGAAAUAGCAUAGAGAUCUCAUAUGAUAGAAACUGAAUCAAAUAAAUGGUUUCCUUCCUCCAUUAAAAUUAACCCCUUUUGAUCAUUUUAACAUUUCCUUCUCUUCUGGUCACAACCGUUCAUACAAAUCGU
Molecule: long non-coding RNA, 205 nt
Filed under: Nicotiana benthamiana
Lineage: Eukaryota; Viridiplantae; Streptophyta; Magnoliopsida; Solanales; Solanaceae
Description: long non-coding RNA (NBEN_LNC033660)
Source: RNAcentral